This 279-nucleotide ribosomal RNA is filed under the name Babesia vogeli. RNAcentral's name for it is "partial 18S ribosomal RNA". It matches the Rfam family "Eukaryotic small subunit ribosomal RNA", at positions 495 to 827 of the family's 1831-position model. The record is from RNAcentral. Lineage: Eukaryota; Apicomplexa; Aconoidasida; Piroplasmida; Babesiidae.
CUAAUGUCUUGUAAUUGGAAUGAUGGUGACCCACACCCUCACCAGAGUAGCAAUUGGAGGGCAAGUCUGGUGCCGCAGCCGCGGUAAUUCCAGCUCCAAUAGCGUAUAUUAAACUUGUUGCAGUUAAAAAGCUCGUAGUUGAAUUUUAGCUGUUCGAGUUUGCCAUUCGUUUGGCUUUUUCGAGUUCGCUUUUGGGUUUUCCCUUUUUACUUUGAGAAAAUUAGAUGUUUCAAGCAGACUUUUGUCUUGAAUACUUCAGCAUGGAAUAAUAGAGUAGGA